Molecule: ribosomal RNA, 253 nt
Filed under: uncultured bacterium
Lineage: Bacteria
Description: partial 16S ribosomal RNA
Rfam family: Bacterial small subunit ribosomal RNA
Source: RNAcentral
UACGCAGGGUGCAAGCGUUAAUCGGAAUUACUGGGCGUAAAGCGUGCGCAGGCGGUGAUGUAAGACAGAUGUGAAAUCCCCGGGCUCAACCUGGGAACUGCAUUUGUGACUGCAUCGCUGGAGUGCGGCAGAGGGGGAUGGAAUUCCGCGUGUAGCAGUGAAAUGCGUAGAUAUGCGGAGGAACACCGAUGGCGAAGGCAAUCCCCUGGGCCUGCACUGACGCUCAUGCACGAAAGCGUGGGGAGCAAACAGG